This 804-nucleotide ribosomal RNA is filed under the name Bacillus subtilis. Its description in RNAcentral is "bacterial SSU rRNA". It matches the Rfam family "Bacterial small subunit ribosomal RNA", at positions 551 to 1345 of the family's 1533-position model. Lineage: Bacteria; Bacillati; Bacillota; Bacilli; Caryophanales; Bacillaceae. The record is from RNAcentral.
AUUUUGGGCGUAAGGGCUUCGCAGGCGGUUUUUUAAGUUCUGAAUGUGAAAGCCCCCCGGCUUCAACCGGGGAGGGUCCAUUUGGAAACUGGGGAACUUUGAGUUGCAGAAGAGGAGAGUGGAAUUUCCACGUGUAGCGGUGAAAUUGCGUAGAGAUGUGGAGGAACACCAGUGGCGAAGGCGACUCUCUGGUCUGUAACUGACGCUGAGGAGCGAAAGCGUGGGGAGCGAACAGGAUUAGAUACCCUGGUAGUCCACGCCGUAAACGAUGAGUGCUAAGUGUUAGGGGGUUUCCGCCCCUUAGUGCUGCAGCUAACGCAUUAAGCACUCCGCCUGGGGAGUACGGUCGCAAGACUGAAACUCAAAGGAAUUGACGGGGGCCCGCACAAGCGGUGGAGCAUGUGGUUUAAUUCGAAGCAACGCGAAGAACCUUACCAGGUCUUGACAUCCUCUGACAAUCCUAGAGAUAGGACGUCCCCUUCGGGGGCAGAGUGACAGGUGGUGCAUGGUUGUCGUCAGCUCGUGUCGUGAGAUGUUGGGUUAAGUCCCGCAACGAGCGCAACCCUUGAUCUUAGUUGCCAGCAUUCAGUUGGGCACUCUAAGGUGACUGCCGGUGACAAACCGGAGGAAGGUGGGGAUGACGUCAAAUCAUCAUGCCCCUUAUGACCUGGGCUACACACGUGCUACAAUGGACAGAACAAAGGGCAGCGAAACCGCGAGGUUAAGCCAAUCCCACAAAUCUGUUCUCAGUUCGGAUCGCAGUCUGCAACUCGACUGCGUGAAGCUGGAAUCGCUAGUAAUCGC